GAUGAACGCUGGCGGCGUGCCUAAUACAUGCAAGUCGAGCGAACUGAUUAGAAGCUUGCUUCUAUGACGUUAGCGGCGGACGGGUGAGUAACACGUGGGCAACCUGCCUGUAAGACUGGGAUAACUUCGGGAAACCGAAGCUAAUACCGGAUAGGAUCUUCUCCUUCAUGGGAGAUGAUUGAAAGAUGGUUUCGGCUAUCACUUACAGAUGGGCCCGCGGUGCAUUAGCUAGUUGGUGAGGUAACGGCUCACCAAGGCAACGAUGCAUAGCCGACCUGAGAGGGUGAUCGGCCACACUGGGACUGAGACACGGCCCAGACUCCUACGGGAGGCAGCAGUAGGGAAUCUUCCGCAAUGGACGAAAGUCUGACGGAGCAACGCCGCGUGAGUGAUGAAGGCUUUCGGGUCGUAAAACUCUGUUGUUAGGGAAGAACAAGUACGAGAGUAACUGCUCGUACCUUGACGGUACCUAACCAGAAAGCCACGGCUAACUACGUGCCAGCAGCCGCCGUAA
Molecule: ribosomal RNA, 514 nt
Filed under: uncultured bacterium
Lineage: Bacteria
Description: partial 16S ribosomal RNA
Rfam family: Bacterial small subunit ribosomal RNA
Source: RNAcentral